This 114-nucleotide non-coding RNA is filed under the name Compsopogon caeruleus. Lineage: Eukaryota; Rhodophyta; Compsopogonophyceae; Compsopogonales; Compsopogonaceae. The record is from RNAcentral.
AGAGAGAGAGAGAGAAAAAAAAAAAAAAAGGUUAGGGACGUGUUUGGGUUGUUGUGGUUGUAUUGUUUUGUUUUGGAUUUGUAUGGUUGGUGUAUUUUUAAUUGAUAUUGUUUU